Molecule: ribosomal RNA, 327 nt
Filed under: Triticum aestivum (bread wheat)
Lineage: Eukaryota; Viridiplantae; Streptophyta; Magnoliopsida; Poales; Poaceae
Description: partial small subunit ribosomal RNA
Source: RNAcentral
AUGAUACCCAAAUUUUGCAGGCUGAUAAAAAGAAGUUACAGUUUAAUCGAAGGGAGAAUGAAAAUUUCAAUAUUGGCAUCCUUAUAUAAGGCCUUCUAUGUCUUUUUUCUAAGGCCACAAACAAGAAAACAUGCAGUCGUCUUAUGGCCGUGGGAUGGAGGGCGGCGUGCAAGGACAACCAAGGAGAUCACAUCCACCUACUUUUGGCUGUUUGUGUCACUCUUCUUUGGUGAAUCAUUCCAAUCAUUUCGUUGGGGCUCUGCAUCCCAUCUGAAUGGGUACAUUACCCAUCCAAAAUCAGAACCUGAUGGUCACUCUACGAUCUAA